GAUGAAGAACGUAGCGAAAUGCGAUAAGUAGUGUGAAUUGCAGAAUUCAGUGAAUCAUCGAAUCUUUGAACGCACAUUGCGCCCCUUGGUAUUCCGGGGGGCAUGCCUGUCCGAGCGUCAUUGCUGCCCUCAAGCACGGCUUGUGUGUUGGGCCCCGUCCUCCGAUCCCGGGGGACGGGCCCGAAAGGCAGCGGCGGCACCGCGUCCGGUCCUCGAGCGUAUGGGGCUUUGUCACCCGCUCUGUAGGCCCGGCCGGCGCUUGCCGAUCAACCCAAAUUUUUUAUCCAGGUUGACCUCGGAUCAGGUAGGGAUACCCGCUGAACUUAAGCAUAUCAAAGCGGAGGA
This 345-nucleotide unclassified non-coding RNA is filed under the name soil metagenome. RNAcentral's name for it is "partial contains 5.8S ribosomal RNA, internal transcribed spacer 2, and large subunit ribosomal RNA". The stretch from base 1 to 120 matches the Rfam family "5.8S ribosomal RNA", at positions 35 to 154 of the family's 154-position model. The record is from RNAcentral.